This 1487-nucleotide ribosomal RNA is filed under the name metagenome. RNAcentral's name for it is "bacterial SSU rRNA". It matches the Rfam family "Bacterial small subunit ribosomal RNA". The record is from RNAcentral.
AGAGUUUGAUCCUGGCUCAGGAUGAACGCUAGCUACAGGCUUAACACAUGCAAGUCGAGGGGCAGCAUUUUAGUUUGCUUGCAAACUGAAGAUGGCGACCGGCGCACGGGUGAGUAACACGUAUCCAACCUGCCGAUAACUCGGGGAUAGCCUUUCGAAAGAAAGAUUAAUAUCCGAUAGUAUAUUAAAACCGCAUGGUUUUACUAUUAAAGAAUUUCGGUUAUCGAUGGGGAUGCGUUCCAUUAGUUUGUUGGCGGGGUAACGGCCCACCAAGACUACGAUGGAUAGGGGUUCUGAGAGGAAGGUCCCCCACAUUGGAACUGAGACACGGUCCAAACUCCUACGGGAGGCAGCAGUGAGGAAUAUUGGUCAAUGGACGAGAGUCUGAACCAGCCAAGUAGCGUGAAGGAUGACUGCCCUAUGGGUUGUAAACUUCUUUUAUAUGGGAAUAAAGUAUUCCACGUGUGGGAUUUUGUAUGUACCAUAUGAAUAAGGAUCGGCUAACUCCGUGCCAGCAGCCGCGGUAAUACGGAGGAUCCGAGCGUUAUCCGGAUUUAUUGGGUUUAAAGGGAGCGUAGGUGGAUUGUUAAGUCAGUUGUGAAAGUUUGCGGCUCAACCGUAAAAUUGCAGUUGAAACUGGGAGUCUUGAGUACAGUAGAGGUGGGCGGAAUUCGUGGUGUAGCGGUGAAAUGCUUAGAUAUCACGAAGAACUCCGAUUGCGAAGGCAGCUCACUAGACUGUCACUGACACUGAUGCUCGAAAGUGUGGGUAUCAAACAGGAUUAGAUACCCUGGUAGUCCACACAGUAAACGAUGAAUACUCGCUGUUUGCGAUAUACAGUAAGCGGCCAAGCGAAAGCAUUAAGUAUUCCACCUGGGGAGUACGCCGGCAACGGUGAAACUCAAAGGAAUUGACGGGGGCCCGCACAAGCGGAGGAACAUGUGGUUUAAUUCGAUGAUACGCGAGGAACCUUACCCGGGCUUAAAUUGCAACAGAAUAUAUUGGAAACAGUAUAGCCGUAAGGCUGUUGUGAAGGUGCUGCAUGGUUGUCGUCAGCUCGUGCCGUGAGGUGUCGGCUUAAGUGCCAUAACGAGCGCAACCCUUAUCUUUAGUUACUAACAGGUCAUGCUGAGGACUCUAGAGAGACUGCCGUCGUAAGAUGUGAGGAAGGUGGGGAUGACGUCAAAUCAGCACGGCCCUUAUGUCCGGGGCUACACACGUGUUACAAUGGGGGGUACAGAAGGCGGCUACCUGGUGACAGGAUGCUAAUCCCAAAAACCUCUCUCAGUUCGGAUCGAAGUCUGCAACCCGACUUCGUGAAGCUGGAUUCGCUAGUAAUCGCGCAUCAGCCAUGGCGCGGUGAAUACGUUCCCGGGCCUUGUACACACCGCCCGUCAAGCCAUGAAAGCCGGGGGUACCUGAAGUACGUAACCGCAAGGAGCGUCCUAGGGUAAAACUGGUAAUUGGGGCUAAGUCGUAACAAGGUA